GAUGAACGCUGGCGGCGUGCUUAACACAUGCAAGUCGAGCGGGGGAAGGUAGCUUGCUACCGGACCUAGCGGCGGACGGGUGAGUAAUGCUUAGGAAUCUGCCUAUUAGUGGGGGACAACGUUCCGAAAGGGAUGCUAAUACCGCAUACGCCCUACGGGGGAAAGCAGGGGAUCUUCGGACCUUGCGCUAAUCGAUGAGCCUAAGUCGGAUUAGCUAGUUGGUGGGGUAAAGGCCUACCAAGGCGACGAUCUGUAGCGGGUCUGAGAGGAUGAUCCGCCACACUGGGACUGAGACACGGCCCAGACUCCUACGGGAGGCAGCAGUGGGGAAUAUUGGACAAUGGGCGGAAGCCUGAUCCAGCCAUGCCGCGUGUGUGAAGAAGGCCUUUUGGUUGUAAGGCACUUUAAGCGAGGAGGAGGCUACUAGUAUUAAUACUACUGGAUAGUGGACGUUACUCGCAGAAUAAGCACCGGCUAACUCUGUGCCAGCCGCCGCCGUAA
Molecule: ribosomal RNA, 501 nt
Filed under: uncultured bacterium
Lineage: Bacteria
Description: partial 16S ribosomal RNA
Rfam family: Bacterial small subunit ribosomal RNA
Source: RNAcentral